GUUAGGAAUCUUCCACAAUGGGGGCAACCCUGAUGGAGCAACAUCACGUGCUGGAUGAAGGCCUUCGGGUCGUAAACAGCUUUUGUAUACGAAGAAUAUGACGGUAAUAUACGAAUAAGGGUCGGCUAACUACGUGCCAGCAGCCGCGGUCAUACGUAGGACCCAAGCGUUAUCCGGAGUGACUGGGCGUAAAGAGUUGCGUAGGCGGCUUAUUAAGCGAGUAGUGAAAUCUGGUGGCUCAACCAUCAACACAUUGCUCGAACUGAUAGGCUUGAGAAUGGUAGAGGUAGUUGGAAUUUCUUGUGUAGGAGUGAAAUCCGUAGAUAUAAGAAGGAACACCAAUGGCGUAGGCAGACUACUGGACCAUUUCUGACGCUGAGGCACGAAAGCGUGGGGAGCGAACCGGAUUAGAAACCCCUGUAGUCC
RNAcentral lists this ribosomal RNA (426 nucleotides) under uncultured bacterium. RNAcentral describes it as "partial 16S ribosomal RNA". It matches the Rfam family "Bacterial small subunit ribosomal RNA", at positions 354 to 796 of the family's 1533-position model. The record is from RNAcentral.